This 65-nucleotide transfer RNA is filed under the name Rhyacophila quadrifida. Its description in RNAcentral is "tRNA-Gly". The record is from RNAcentral. Lineage: Eukaryota; Metazoa; Arthropoda; Insecta; Trichoptera; Rhyacophilidae.
AUUUAUAUAAUAUAAAAAGUAUAAAUGACUUCCAAUCAUUUCGUUUAAUUAAAUUAAUAUAAAUA